Molecule: transfer RNA, 76 nt
Filed under: Paracoccus fistulariae
Lineage: Bacteria; Pseudomonadati; Pseudomonadota; Alphaproteobacteria; Rhodobacterales; Paracoccaceae
Also listed under: 1 other name
Description: tRNA-Thr
Rfam family: tRNA
About the family: Transfer RNA (tRNA) molecules are approximately 80 nucleotides in length. Their secondary structure includes four short double-helical elements and three loops (D, anti-codon, and T loops).
Source: RNAcentral
GCCGUCAUAGCUCAGUUGGUAGAGCGUCUGAUUUGUAAUCAGGGGGUCCGGGGUUCAAGUCCUCGUGGCGGCACCA